CCUAACACAUUGCCAAGUCGAACGGUAGCACAGAAGAGCUUGCUCUUCGGGUGACGAGUGGCGGACGGGUGAGUAAUGUCUGGGGAUCUGCCCGAUAGAGGGGGAUAACCACUGGAAACGGUGGCUAAUACCGCAUAACGUCGCAAGACCAAAGAGGGGGACCUUCGGGCCUCUCACUAUCGGAUGAACCCAGAUGGGAUUAGCUAGUAGGUGGGGUAACGGCUCACCUAGGCGACGAUCCCUAGCUGGUCUGAGAGGAUGACCAGCCACACUGGAACUGAGACACGGUCCAGACUCCUACGGGAGGCAGCAGUGGGGAAUAUUGCACAAUGGGCGCAAGCCUGAUGCAGCCAUGCCGCGUGUAUGAAGAAGGCCUUCGGGUUGUAAAGUACUUUCAGCGGGGAGGAAGGGAUGGAGCUUAAUACGCUCUGUCAUUGACGUUACCCGCAGAAGAAGCACCGGCUAACUCCGUGCCAGCAGCCGCGGUAAUACGGAGGGUGCAAGCGUUAAUCGGAAUUACUGGGCGUAAAGCGCACGCAGGCGGUCUGUCAAGUCGGAUGUGAAAUCCCCGGGCUCAACCCGGGAACUGCAUUCGAAACUGGCAGGCUAGAGUCUCGUAGAGGGGGGUAGAAUUCCAGGUGUAGCGGUGAAAUGCGUAGAGAUCUGGAGGAAUACCGGUGGCGAAGGCGGCCCCCUGGACGAAGACUGACGCUCAGGUGCGAAAGCGUGGGGAGCAAACAGGAUAAACCC
RNAcentral lists this ribosomal RNA (750 nucleotides) under bacterium. RNAcentral's name for it is "bacterial SSU rRNA". It matches the Rfam family "Bacterial small subunit ribosomal RNA", at positions 47 to 787 of the family's 1533-position model. The record is from RNAcentral.